RNAcentral lists this ribosomal RNA (506 nucleotides) under uncultured bacterium. Its description in RNAcentral is "bacterial SSU rRNA". It matches the Rfam family "Bacterial small subunit ribosomal RNA", at positions 1 to 507 of the family's 1533-position model. The record is from RNAcentral.
UAAGACGAGUACGUCGACGACGAGCGCAGGCGAGAGCGUAGCCGACAUUACGCGAUUCCAAGGGCAUAGCACAUGCAAACUUGGACGCUGAGUGCUGAGCAGGCGAUGAGAGUGGCGAACGGGCGAGUAACGCGUGAGCAACCUACCUCGUACUGGGGGAUAACGUCGGGAAACCGGCGCUAAUACCGCAUAAGACUACGAUGCCGCAUGGCAAUGUAGUCAAAGCUCCGGUGGUACGAGACGGGCUCGCGUCCGAUUAGCUAGUUGGUAGGGUAAUGGCCUACCAAGGCGACGAUCGGUAGCCGGACUGAGAGGUCGGCCGGCCGCAUUGGGACUGAGACACGGCCCAGACUCCUACGGGAGGCAGCAGUGGGGAAUAUUGCGCAAUGGGGGAAACCCUGACGCAGCGACGCCGCGUGAAGGAAGAAGGCCUUCGGGUUGUAAACUUCUUUGAUCGGGGACGAAGGAAGACGGUACCCGGGGAACAAGCCACGGCUAACUACGUG